CAGUAGCCGCGGGAAUACGGAGGGUGCAAGCGUUAAUCGGAAUUACUGGGCGUAAAGCGUGCGUAGGCGGUUAUAUAAGACAGAUGUGAAAUCCCCGGGCUCAACCUGGGACCUGCAUUUGUGACUGUAUAGCUAGAGUACGGUAGAGGGGGAUGGAAUUCCGCGUGUAGCAGUGAAAUGCGUAGAUAUGCGGAGGAACACCGAUGGCGAAGGCAAUCCCCUGGACCUGUACUGACGCUCAUGCACGAAAGCGUGGGGAGCAAACAGGAUUAGAUACCCCAGUAGUCCCUGUCUCUUAUAC
RNAcentral lists this ribosomal RNA (301 nucleotides) under uncultured bacterium. Its description in RNAcentral is "partial 16S ribosomal RNA". It matches the Rfam family "Bacterial small subunit ribosomal RNA", at positions 509 to 807 of the family's 1533-position model. The record is from RNAcentral.